GAUGAACGCUGGCGGCGUGCCUAAUACAUGCAAGUCGAGCGAACGGACGAGCAGCUUGCUUCUCUGAUGUUAGCGGCGGACGGGUGAGUAACACGUGGAUAACCUACCUAUAAGACUGGGAUAACUUCGGGAAACCGGAGCUAAUACCGGAUAAUAUUUUGAAACUCAUUUUUCAAAAGUGAAAGACGGUCUUGCUGUCAUUUAUAGAUGUAUCCGCGCUGCCUUAGCUAGUUGGUAUGGUAACGGCUGUCCAAGGCAACGAUGCAUAGCCAACCUGAGAGGGUAGUCGGCCCAACGGGACCUGGAACACGGUCAGGACUCCUAGGGGAGGCAGAGGAAGGGAAUCUUGGGCAAUGGGGGAAGGCCUGACGGGGCAACGCGGCGGGGGUGAUGAAGUUCUUCGGAUCGUAAACCUCUGUUAUUAGGAAAGAACAGAUGUGUAGGUAACUGUGCACACCUUGACGGUACCUAAUCAGAAAGCCACGGCUAACUACGUG
This 497-nucleotide ribosomal RNA is filed under the name uncultured bacterium. RNAcentral describes it as "partial 16S ribosomal RNA". It matches the Rfam family "Bacterial small subunit ribosomal RNA", at positions 28 to 507 of the family's 1533-position model. The record is from RNAcentral.